RNAcentral lists this long non-coding RNA (321 nucleotides) under Sorghum bicolor (sorghum). RNAcentral describes it as "long non-coding RNA (SBIC_LNC015546)". The record is from RNAcentral. Lineage: Eukaryota; Viridiplantae; Streptophyta; Magnoliopsida; Poales; Poaceae.
UCACCAUUCACUACUACACAAGCAUCGUUUCUUCAUCGUUCCUAAAAUCCUAAGUGCUACAGUACACGCACUGCUACUGUCCGCCGUGGUGCCCCUCGACUGGCGGCCCAUCCGUGAGGAGCUGCGAAACCCAUUCAUCGUCCACCACCUCCUCCUCCUCCUCCUCCUCUCCCGCCGCCGCGGGCUUGGGAACUGGCCACGUCCAAGGCCACGGCUCCGCCCCACCCGCCGCACGCCCGUCCACGGACGCCAUCACCGUGGACGCCGGCGCCGACAGCGACGACCCGCAGCUCUCGUUCCUCUCGCUCACUGCCGCGUACA